GUGGGGAAUAUUGGACAAUGGGCGAAAGCCUGAUCCAGCCAUGCCGCGUGUGUGAAGAAGGUCUUCGGAUUGUAAAGCACUUUAAGUUGGGAGGAAGGGCAGUAAGUUAAUACCUUGCUGUUUUGACGUUACCGACGGAAUAAGCACCGGCUAACUUCGUGCCAGCAGCCGCGGUAAUACGAAGGGUGCAAGCGUUAAUCGGAAUUACUGGGCGUAAAGCGCGCGUAGGUGGUUUUGUAAGUUGGAGGUGAAAUCCCCGGGCUCAACCUGGGAACUGCCUCCAAAACUGGAUGACUAGAGUACGGUAGAGGGUAGUGGAAUUUCCUGUGUAGCGGUGAAAUGCGUAGAUAUAGGAAGGAACACCAGUGGCGAAGGCGACUACCUGGACUGAUACUGACACUGAGGUGCGAAAGCGUGGGGAGCAAACAGGAUUAGAAACCCGGGUAGUCC
This 450-nucleotide ribosomal RNA is filed under the name uncultured bacterium. Its description in RNAcentral is "partial 16S ribosomal RNA". It matches the Rfam family "Bacterial small subunit ribosomal RNA", at positions 354 to 796 of the family's 1533-position model. The record is from RNAcentral.